Molecule: non-coding RNA, 231 nt
Filed under: Brevundimonas abyssalis
Lineage: Bacteria; Pseudomonadati; Pseudomonadota; Alphaproteobacteria; Caulobacterales; Caulobacteraceae
Source: RNAcentral
UUGCGCAAGCCGGGAGCGCCUGCCACAAGCGCCGCAGGCGGUUAAGGGAACGCGGUCAGACACCGCGGCUGUGCCCGCAACUGUAGGCGGUUAGGCCGUCGUCCGCUCCCUGUCUUCGGGCAGGGCGCCACUGGAGCGAUCCGGGAAGGCGAGGACGACGGGUCGACUUUUCAGGUCGGCCUUUGCCUGUGACCCGCAAGCCAGGAGACCUGGCCGCCGACGUCGCUCGUC